AUUGAACGCUGGCGGCAUGCUUUACACAUGCAAGUCGAACGGUAGAGGGGGCAACCCCUUGAGAGUGGCGAACGGGUGAGUAAUGCAUCGGAACGUGCCCAGUCGUGGGGGAUAACGCAGCGAAAGCUGUGCUAAUACCGCAUACGAUCUCUGGAUGAAAGCGGGGGACCGAAAGGCCUCGCGCGAUUGGAGCGGCUGAUGUCAGAUUAGGUAGUAGGUGGGGUAAAGGACCACCAAGCCGACGAUCUGUAGCUGGUCGGAGAGGACGACCAGCCACGCUGGGACUGAGACACGGCCCAGACUCCUACGGGAGGCAGCAGUGGGGAAUUUUGGACAAUGGGCGAAAGCCUGAUCCAGCAAUGCCGCGUGCAGGAAGAAGGCCUUCGGGUUGUAAACUGCUUUUGUACGGAGCGAAAAGGUCCUUUCUAAUACAAGGGGCUCAUGACGGUACCGUAAGAAUAAGCACCGGCUAACUACGUGCCAGCCGCCGCCGUAA
RNAcentral lists this ribosomal RNA (496 nucleotides) under uncultured bacterium. Its description in RNAcentral is "partial 16S ribosomal RNA". It matches the Rfam family "Bacterial small subunit ribosomal RNA", at positions 29 to 523 of the family's 1533-position model. The record is from RNAcentral.